GAUGAAGAACGUAGCAAAAUGCGAUAAGUAAUGUGAAUUGCAGAAUUCAGUGAAUCAUCGAAUCUUUGAACGCACAUUGCGCCCGCCAGUAUUCUGGCGGACAUGCCUGUUCGAGCGUCAUUUCAACCCUCAAGCUCAGCUUGGUGUUGGGACUCGCGGUAACCCGCGUUCCCCAAAUCGAUUGGCGGUCACGUCGAGCUUCCAUAGCGUAGUAAUCAUACACCUCGUUACUGGUAAUCGUCGCGGCCACGCCAUAAAACCCCAACUUCUGAAUGUUGACCUCGGAUCAGGUAGGAAUACCCGCUGAACUUAAGCAUAUCAAUAAGCGGAGGA
This 333-nucleotide unclassified non-coding RNA is filed under the name soil metagenome. RNAcentral's name for it is "partial contains 5.8S ribosomal RNA, internal transcribed spacer 2, and large subunit ribosomal RNA". The stretch from base 1 to 120 matches the Rfam family "5.8S ribosomal RNA", at positions 35 to 154 of the family's 154-position model. The record is from RNAcentral.